CCUACGGGUGGCAGCAGUGAGGAAUAUUGGUCAAUGGGCGCGAGCCUGAACCAGCCAAGUAGCGUGAAGGAUGACUGCCCUACGGGUUGUAAACUUCUUUUAUAAAGGAAUAAAGUGAGGCACGUGUGCCUUUUUGUAUGUACUUUAUGAAUAAGGAUAGGCUAACUCCGUGCCAGCAGCCGCGGUAAUACGGAGGAUCCGAGCUUUGUCCGGAGUUAUUGGGUUUAAAGGGAGCGUAAAUGGGUGGUUAAGUCAGUUGUGAAAUAUUGCGGGUCAACCGGAAAAUUGCAAUUGAUAAUGGCAGCCUUGAGUACAGUUGAGGUAGGCGGAAUACGUGGUGUAGCGGUGAAAUGCUUAGAUAGCACGAAGAACUCCGAUUGCGAAGGCAGCCUACUAAACUGCCACUGACAUUGAUGCUCGAAAGUGUGGGUAUCAAACAGGAUUAGAUACCCCGGUAGUC
RNAcentral lists this ribosomal RNA (460 nucleotides) under uncultured bacterium. RNAcentral's name for it is "partial 16S ribosomal RNA". It matches the Rfam family "Bacterial small subunit ribosomal RNA", at positions 338 to 795 of the family's 1533-position model. The record is from RNAcentral.